ACUGAUUGAACGUGCUUGCACGGACUUGACGUUGGUUUACCAGCGAGUGGCGGACGGGUGAGUAACACGUAGGUAACCUGCCCCAAAGCGGGGGAUAACAUUUGGAAACAGAUGCUAAUACCGCAUAACAAUUUGAAUCGCAUGAUUCAAAUUUAAAAGAUGGCCUCGGCUAUCACUUUGGGAUGGACCUGCGGCGCAUUAGCUUGUUGGUAGGGUAACGGCCUACCAAGGCUGUGAUGCGUAGCCGAGUUGAGAGACUGAUCGGCCACAAUGGAACUGAGACACGGUCCAUACUCCUACGGGAGGCAGCAGUAGGGAAUCUUCCACAAUGGGCGCAAGCCUGAUGGAGCAACACCGCGUGAGUGAAGAAGGGUUUCGGCUCGUAAAGCUCUGUUGUUAGAGAAGAACGUGCGUGAGAGCAACUGUUCACGCAGUGACGGUAUCUAACCAGAAAGUCACGGCUAACUAGGUGCCAGCAGCCGCGGUAAUACGUAGGUGGCAAGCGUUAUCCGGAUUUAUUGGGCGUAAAGCGAGUGCAGGCGGUUUGAUAAGUCUGAUGUGAAAGCCUUUGGCUUAACCAAAGAAGUGCAUCGGAAACUGUCAGACUUGAGUGCAGAAGAGGACAGUGGAACUCCAUGUGUAGCGGUGGAAUGCGUAGAUAUAUGGAAGAACACCAGUGGCGAAGGCGGCUGUCU
This 695-nucleotide ribosomal RNA is filed under the name uncultured Bacilli bacterium. Its description in RNAcentral is "bacterial SSU rRNA". It matches the Rfam family "Bacterial small subunit ribosomal RNA", at positions 46 to 730 of the family's 1533-position model. Lineage: Bacteria; Bacillati; Bacillota; Bacilli. The record is from RNAcentral.